UUAAGUUCAGCGGGUAUUCCUACCUAAUCCGAGGUCAACCAUUAGAAAUAUAGGGGGUUUCACGCCGGCCGCCAAAGCCACUACCAGAAGCGAGAAACAAGUACUACGCUUAGAGUGUGCUCUAACUCCGCCACUACCUUUAAGGAACUACGCUGUAACCUGUAGAUUCCCAACGCUAAGCUACUGAGGCUUAAGGGUUG
This 200-nucleotide unclassified non-coding RNA is filed under the name Xylariaceae sp. RNAcentral's name for it is "partial internal transcribed spacer 2". Lineage: Eukaryota; Fungi; Ascomycota; Sordariomycetes; Xylariales; Xylariaceae. The record is from RNAcentral.